This 205-nucleotide long non-coding RNA is filed under the name Gossypium raimondii (Peruvian cotton). RNAcentral describes it as "long non-coding RNA (GRAI_LNC004775)". The record is from RNAcentral. Lineage: Eukaryota; Viridiplantae; Streptophyta; Magnoliopsida; Malvales; Malvaceae.
GAAAGAACAAUUUUAAAAGGUGGUUCUUUUAUUUUUGUUACUCUAUUUUAUUUAUUUGUUUUAAAAAAACAUAAAAUAAAAAAAGAAAUUGAAAACUUACCGAGUCGUUUCGUGUUCCACCGCCGCGAGUGGACAAGGACACUGUCUCCGAUGAUGGACUGCUCCUUUCGGUGAGACCUCCGAAUCGCUUUUCGUUCGUCUAAGG